RNAcentral lists this ribosomal RNA (342 nucleotides) under Triticum aestivum (bread wheat). Its description in RNAcentral is "partial small subunit ribosomal RNA". Lineage: Eukaryota; Viridiplantae; Streptophyta; Magnoliopsida; Poales; Poaceae. The record is from RNAcentral.
AUGAUGCCCUGGUUAUGCCAAUUUUCAGCACUUUGUUUGCUGGAAUUGGUGCCACUGUCUGACGAGCAUGUUCAAAUGCUCCAGCUCAGUUCAAUUGUCACACUCCUAGCUAGCUCUAGCAGCGUGACAAGGGCACAAGCAGUAGAGGUGAUGGAAAAGAGCAUGGCAGAGAGCAACAGAGAUGCAGGAGAAGAAGUUCAGUCGUUAACUGACGAAACUGAAGAAGUACACGUCGAGCGAGGGAAGCGAGGAAAGGAGGGAAUUGUUGGCGCCAGCAAGUGGGUGACUUGGCAUAGAGUUGUCGGAUGUGGGGCCCAGUGGGCAGUGGGUGUUGUGGCCUAG